CACAAGCUCCCGUGCUGCUAGAGAAAGUCCUCAGCUAGAAACAGGUGCAAAUUCUGGAGAUGAGACCUUGUAGAGUGUUAAGAAUGGUUUUCUUCCCAGCAGCUACAGGGCAAAGAAGACCCAGAGAAAGCCCAAAUGGCUGAUGGAACAAAGUCAGACACCGUGCCACCUGUCCACACUCCUUGGCUCUGCCAUCAUGCUGAAGAUCGUUUUAAAGGACUGGCUUCCCUCCCCCCAAAAUUAAAAGAGCACAGACUGAGAAACUGAAUGUAGGAGACAGCAGUGGAUUAUGCUGUUCUCAGGGGUCACCUCAGGUUUGGAAGCAUUCUUUCAAAUUAACCCAUCUCAGGCCAUCUGCAGAGAAGAAAGGUGGUACCUAACUUUUUUUCUUGUCAGCAUUUGGUAGGGGUGUUUUAUUGACCAAAUAUGUUCCCACAACCUGGUUUUUUGUGACUAAGUAAAUAUAGUAGAUUUUUAAAUUUUAUCAUCAAAAUCUAUAGACAAUUUUUGAUUAAAAUAGACUCCAUAUCUAUGUCCUGCUUUUCUUCUUAUUAUUAAUUACAUUGCUGUAUAAAAGAACAAGACUUCAGAAUCAAGAAUAUCUUGUCUCUUCGCAUUGAAUUUAUAUACAAGGUGCUCUUUCUUUAAUGCUGUCUCAAAGGACAUAUUUUUACUCAUUAAAAAGGAAGAUCGGAAUCUGGUUGUAUGCACUGCUCCAACAUAUUAAUAAUUAAAAUUAAGAGGUAAAUGUGGUCAAAGCCAUAGAAAGACUGAGAUGUCAUUUAUAUUGAUUACUCUAUAGCACUCUACAAACAGAAAUUGUGAAAUAAGUUUAUAUAAAUAUUUUGUAGCAUUUCAAAUAUUUGAGUGCUUGAAGUUUCUCCUCUUAUAUAGUUCAGAUUAUCAAUUUGAAAACUUACUCCGCUAGUUAAUAUGUUUUUAGUCUCGUUUGAGUAUUAUAUAAAAGCAAUUUUCAGUUAAAUGUGUUCCGCUUACAUAAAACAUUACAAAUUAUUGAGGAUUUAAUUACUUAUUCAUGUUCCUGUAAUGUCUUUAGAAGAUUUUCUUCUUAUUACCUAUCAAUAUAUGUAUGCUUUGUCAAAGAAAAAUCAAACAUAUAUAUCAUUGAAAUUGAAACUUUUUAAAAGUACUUAUUAAUUCUAUUGAAAAACCACAUCCAUAGGAACAAUUACAAUAUAAUAUUGUGAACAUGUAAACAUAUACCCUAUGUCUAUUUUAUGUAUAAUCAUAUAUGAUUAAAAAUAUAGUUAAGAAUUUUUAAACCUAGUAUUAUCAAGUAAAAAUUAGUUAACUUCUGAUGAUUGUUAAUUAAGAUAAAAUUAUUUUGAUUUGGGUGAUUUUAAAUAAAGAAAAAAAUUACAUGACAAAAAUUCUUUAUAAAAUGUUUAUGAUUUUUACAUUGGUUUUAUCACUUUAUUCCACUAUUUUAUUUUAAGAUGACCAGCCUUGUUUAAAACACUGUAUUCAUCUUAAUUAAAUUAAAUUCCAUUUGUAAAAAAAUUAACAAAUGAUUUGCUCUAUUAUACAGUGCGGUUGUAAACUGAGUCAGUAUCUCAAGGUUUGACCCCCAUUAUCGUCAUCCGUGGCCCUAUUUGUUUGAUAAAUGUAUUGUCUUUUUCCAUGCCUGUCGCAUCUCUAUUGCUCUUUCAUUUUUCUCUUUGUCCCUUAUAGGGAGCAUUGCCUAUCUCUAGAUUAAGCAAAAGUUGCAUCUUAAAAAAGCACAAUAACCUGCUCAAU
RNAcentral lists this long non-coding RNA (1758 nucleotides) under Homo sapiens (human). RNAcentral's name for it is "HSALNT0270680". The record is from RNAcentral. Lineage: Eukaryota; Metazoa; Chordata; Mammalia; Primates; Hominidae.